UGGUCUUGACAUAGAAAGAACUUUCCAGAGAUGGAUUGGUGCCUGCUUGCAGGAGCUUUCAUACAGGUGCUGCACGGCUGUCGUCAGCUCGUGUCGUGAGAUGUUGGGUUAAGUCCCGCAACGAGCGCAACCCUCGUCGUUAGUUGCUAACAGUUCGGCUGAGCACUCUAGCGAGACUGCCUUCGCAAGGAGGAGGAAGGUGAGGACGACGUCAAGUCAUCAUGGCCCUUAUGGCUUGGGCUACACACGUGCUACAAUGGGGCGUACAGAGAGUUGCGAUACCGCGAGGUGGAGCUAAUCUCAUAAAGCGUCUCUCAGUUCGGAUUGGACUCUGCAACUCGAGUCCAUGAAGCUGGAAUCACUAGUAAUCGUAGAUCAGCAAUGCUACGGUGAAUACGUUCCCGGGUCU
Molecule: ribosomal RNA, 409 nt
Filed under: uncultured bacterium
Lineage: Bacteria
Description: bacterial SSU rRNA
Rfam family: Bacterial small subunit ribosomal RNA
Source: RNAcentral